RNAcentral lists this ribosomal RNA (1433 nucleotides) under uncultured organism. RNAcentral's name for it is "SSU rRNA". It matches the Rfam family "Bacterial small subunit ribosomal RNA". The record is from RNAcentral.
GGUGAACGCUAGCUACAGGCUUAACACAUGCAAGUCUUGGGGCAUCAGGAAGAAAGCUUGCUUUCUUUGCUGGCGACCGGCGCACGGGUGAGUAACACGUAUCCAACCUGCCCUUUACUCGGGGAUAGCCUUUCGAAAGAAAGAUUAAUACCCGAUAGCAUAAUGAUUCCGCAUGGUUUCAUUAUUAAAGGAUUCCGGUAAAGGAUGGGGAUGCGUUCCAUUAGGUUGUUGGUGAGGUAACGGCCCACCAAGCCUUCGAUGGAUAGGGGUUCUGAGAGGAAGGUCCCCCACAUUGGAACUGAGACACGGUCCAAACUCCUACGGGAGGCAGCAGUGAGGAAUAUUGGUCAAUGGGCGCUAGCCUGAACCAGCCAAGUAGCGUGAAGGAUGAAGGCUCUAUGGGUCGUAAACUUCUUUUAUAUAAGAAUAAAGUGCAGUAUGUAUACUGUUUUGUAUGUAUUAUAUGAAUAAGGAUCGGCUAACUCCGUGCCAGCAGCCGCGGUAAUACGGAGGAUCCGAGCGUUAUCCGGAUUUAUUGGGUUUAAAGGGAGCGUAGGUGGACUGGUAAGUCAGUUGUGAAAGUUUGCGGCUCAACCGUAAAAUUGCAGUUGAUACUGUCAGUCUUGAGUACAGUAGAGGUGGGCGGAAUUCGUGGUGUAGCGGUGAAAUGCUUAGAUAUCACGAAGAACUCCGAUUGCGAAGGCAGCUCACUGGACUGCAACUGACACUGAUGCUCGAAAGUGUGGGUAUCAAACAGGAUUAGAUACCCUGGUAGUCCACACAGUAAACGAUGAAUACUCGCUGUUUGCGAUAUACAGUAAGCGGCCAAGCGAAAGCAUUAAGUAUUCCACCUGGGGAGUACGCCGGCAACGGUGAAACUCAAAGGAAUUGACGGGGGCCCGCACAAGCGGAGGAACAUGUGGUUUAAUUCGAUGAUACGCGAGGAACCUUACCCGGGCUUAAAUUGCAGUGGAAUGAUGUGGAAACAUGUCAGUGAGCAAUCACCGCUGUGAAGGUGCUGCAUGGUUGUCGUCAGCUCGUGCCGUGAGGUGUCGGCUUAAGUGCCAUAACGAGCGCAACCCUUAUCUUUAGUUACUAACAGGUUAUGCUGAGGACUCUAGAGAGACUGCCGUCGUAAGAUGUGAGGAAGGUGGGGAUGACGUCAAAUCAGCACGGCCCUUACGUCCGGGGCUACACACGUGUUACAAUGGGGGGUACAGAAGGCAGCUAGCGGGUGACCGUAUGCUAAUCCCAAAAUCCUCUCUCAGUUCGGAUCGAAGUCUGCAACCCGACUUCGUGAAGCUGGAUUCGCUAGUAAUCGCGCAUCAGCCACGGCGCGGUGAAUACGUUCCCGGGCCUUGUACACACCGCCCGUCAAGCCAUGGGAGCCGGGGGUACCUGAAGUACGUAACCGCAAGGAUCGUCCUAGGGUA